RNAcentral lists this ribosomal RNA (402 nucleotides) under uncultured bacterium. RNAcentral's name for it is "bacterial SSU rRNA". It matches the Rfam family "Bacterial small subunit ribosomal RNA", at positions 355 to 774 of the family's 1533-position model. The record is from RNAcentral.
UGGGGAAUAUUGGACAAUGGGCGAAAGCCUGAUCCAGCAAUGCCGCGUGAGUGAUGAAGGCCUUAGGGUUGUAAAGCUCUUUUACCCGGGAAGAUAAUGACUGUACCGGGAGAAUAAGCCCCGGCUAACUCCGUGCCAGCAGCCGCGGUAAUACGGAGGGGGCUAGCGUUGUUCGGAAUUACUGGGCGUAAAGCGUACGUAGGCGGCUUUGUAAGUUAGAGGUGAAAGCCCGGGGCUCAACCCCGGAAUUGCCUUUAAGACUGCAUCGCUUGAAUCGUGGAGAGGUGAGUGGAAUUCCGAGUGUAGAGGUGAAAUUCGUAGAUAUUCGGAAGAACACCAGUGGCGAAGGCGGCUCACUGGACACGUAUUGACGCUGAGGUACGAAAGCGUGGGGAGCAAACA